AUGAACGCUGGCGGCGUGCCUCAUCCAUGCAAGUCGCGCGAACAGACGAGGAGCUUGCUCCUCUGACGUUAGCGGCGGACGGGUGAGUAACACGUGGAUAACCUACCUAUAAGACUGGGAUAACUUCGGGAAACCGGGGCUAAUACCGGAUAAUAUAUUGAACCGCAUGGUUCAAUAGUGAAAGACGGUUUUGCUGUCACUUAUAGAUGGAUCCGCGCCGCAUUAGCUAGUUGGUAAGGUAGCGGCUUACCAAGGCAACGAUGCGUAGCCGACCUGAGAGGGUGAUCGGCCACACUGGAACUGAGACACGGUCCAGACUCCUACGGGAGGCAGCAGUAGGGAAUCUUCCGCAAUGGGCGAAAGCUUGACGGAGCAACGCCGCGUGAGUGAUGAAGGUCUUCGGAUCGUAAAACUCUGUUAUUAGGGAAGAACAAAUGUGUAAGUAACUAUGCACGUCUUGACGGUACCUAAUCAGAAAGCCACGGCUAACUACGUG
This 496-nucleotide ribosomal RNA is filed under the name uncultured bacterium. RNAcentral's name for it is "partial 16S ribosomal RNA". It matches the Rfam family "Bacterial small subunit ribosomal RNA", at positions 29 to 507 of the family's 1533-position model. The record is from RNAcentral.